Varroa destructor (honeybee mite) is the source of this 2103-nucleotide long non-coding RNA. RefSeq lists it as uncharacterized. NCBI's taxonomy places the organism in Eukaryota, Metazoa, Arthropoda, Arachnida, Mesostigmata, Varroidae. The record is from RefSeq and is a predicted model, not a curated record.
UAUAUUCGCUGCAGGCCUGCCACGUACUAGAAAGGGGUCGUAGACGCAACGAGCUUCCCAUGCAAUAUGUUCCGACGCUCAGGGACAUGAUUCCACUUCACUGAGGCGACGGGUCGUUUGUUGUUGCCUACGAAGCUACCCGUCGCUCUGCUAUCCAACUGACGUAUAAGUUUGGCGCUAUGGUCGCUGCACCUUAAGGAAUGGAUCGAAUGGUGCACUUGUUAGCAGCGUGGUAAAAAUACAUUGAGAAUUUACUAAUACUCAACUUCAGCAUCGUCUUCAUUUGGCUGUGAUAAAAUGGAACAAAACUAUCGGGAAACUCGAAGGGCUGCAUCAGCUAAACAGAGACAUCCAGGCGUUCAUAUAGCAAAACUGGCACACACGAACUAGCCAGGGAUUGGUGAUAUCCUUACGCUUCAGGUCAUCUGUGUCCGUUCGCGCACACGUGAUAAAUAUUCGCCAUUCAAAGCCUACGUAGACGCAUUACGCUCAUUUACGUCCGGCUGCAGUGCUCGAAACACUAAUUACGGAUGCAUUGAAUACUCAACAUAUCUUCAUUUAGCACAGAUGUACAAUGGUCUCAUUCGCUCAGCUAGACAGUCCGUUAGUAAAUCUUCAGUGAUCGCACCUUACGCUUCCCUGCUAGCUUUUGUUUAAACCCCUCACCUCACAGAGCAGUCGCUAUUCAGUCGGUACAUCUGCCUCUCGCGUCAUUCGCUGAUCCUAAUAGAUCCACGAUCCAACAACGCGUGACUAGCGGACACUCACGUAUGACAUAUUUCAACGUAUAUAUAUCUGUCCAAUGUAUGCGUUUCAGUCCAGGCUUUUUACAUACCUUCAAAUUACUUCCUUAUGCAAACCAGAUCUUGCUUAUGAAAUGGUUCAUGAAAACGGCUCAUACCCAGAAAUGCUUUGAGUCUUGCUAUUGCUUCGAGCGUGGAGCGGACAGAAAAUGGCGUUUCGGUUGUCAAGGAAGUGGAACGUUAGCGAAAACGUCAAUCGCACAGAUAUGCUAAAACAACAAUAAGGUCGCCUGGCUAUGUUUCGAGAUAGACAGGCGUUAACACUGUAAUAUAGUGAUCUAUCACUGAAUUACCGACACCCAAUGUAAUACUUUAACAUCUUAAUAUGACCGUUUAAUUAAUAAAGGUGCGCUGCAGCUGACCGAAAAUACUUUACUAAAUUAACGGCAGCAGGUCAUAAAGUAUUUCAACCAACUGAUAGCCAGUUGCUCUUAUAUGUGGGCACCGCAUCCACCCGCAAUGGGGUGGAUAUUUCAAUUUCUAUGUUAAGUAACCUUUUUGUACUCACAUUCGACCGCAACGGUACUCGCAUGGAGAUAGAUUAAAUUUACCCUGGACUCUAUCAUCCAUAUCAGAGCCUCGUACAUCUACUAGAUGUACGCUAUGCGCUUACCACACGCAAGCGUUUCGAUCUGAACCACGACCUUCUCUAUAUAUGUCGUAAUAAUGUUUUCAGAGAUGACUACUUGACGGCUGUUCAAUCGAUAACGCUACACAUGACGCCUCAGAUACAAUCGCCAUUGGACAGAAGCGUGUUCCACUCGUUCGGGUCCUGCUGCGUGUAUUUAACUAUAUACCAUUUUUUCAUUCGCACAUAUAUUAUCGCUCACACGUGUAUGCACGCGUCCACUCCUGCCUUUGCAACAGCGUCAUCGGGUCUGCUGUACAAGAUCUCUUUUGUAGCCUCAUAGUCUAUUGUACCUCACAGGCGUCUUCCCAAUUUUUUUUCACGCCUAUAUCUAAGGCGACGGUGUAAUAUGUACGACAGUUUGCACUUUAUAGCUGUUUUUAUCGGCACGCGAAUCGGGUCAAAAUAAUGAUACAGUUAUUAUAUUGAGGUUCCAAUUCGAACCAUGAAGUAUUCUUCUGCAGCAGUCUAAUCUGGUACACAGUCUGUCAACUAAGUACAUAUACUUGUUUGAUAAAUACAAACACUUAGAUUUUUCAGAGUUUAUCUUUGCAAUUAUUACUAUUAUAUGAUAGUUAUUAUAUUGAUAGUAUAAAGCACGUUACUAAGAUGUGUUACGGUAGAAAUAAGAGAACGUAUCAAUACGUUUUGUAGAAAAGUAGCUAAAACAUA